This 470-nucleotide ribosomal RNA is filed under the name uncultured bacterium. Its description in RNAcentral is "bacterial SSU rRNA". It matches the Rfam family "Bacterial small subunit ribosomal RNA", at positions 388 to 849 of the family's 1533-position model. The record is from RNAcentral.
GGAGCACGCCGCGUGAGCGAAGAAGGUCUUCGGAUCGUAAAGCUCUGUUGUCAGGGAAGAACAAGUGCCGUUCGAACAGGGCGGUACCUUGACGGUACCUGACGAGGAAGCCACGGCUAACUACGUGCCAGCAGCCGCGGUAAUACGUAGGUGGCAAGCGUUGUCCGGAAUUAUUGGGCGUAAAGCGCGCGCAGGCGGUUCCUUAAGUCUGAUGUGAAAUCUCGCGGCUCAACCGCGAGCGGCCAUUGGAAACUGGGGAACUUGAGUGCAGGAGAGGGGAGCGGAAUUCCACGUGUAGCGGUGAAAUGCGUAAAGAUGUGGAGGAACACCAGUGGCGAAGGCGGCUCUCUGGCCUGUAACUGACGCUGAGGCGCGAAAGCGUGGGGAGCGAACAGGAUUAGAUACCCUGGUAGUCCACGCCGUAAACGAUGAGUGCUAAGUGUUAGAGGGUAUCCACCCUUUAGUGCUGC